This is a long non-coding RNA of Oncorhynchus tshawytscha (Chinook salmon), 812 nucleotides long. The record is from Ensembl. NCBI's taxonomy places the organism in Eukaryota, Metazoa, Chordata, Actinopteri, Salmoniformes, Salmonidae.
CAGAUAAUGAAGUGACGUGUCAACAGAACAGAGAUAAUGAAGUGAUGUGGCAACAGAACCGAGAUAAUGAAGUGACAUGUCAACAGAACAUAGAUAAUGAAGUGACGUGUCAACAGAACAGAGAUAAUGAAGUGACGUGUCAACAGAACAGAGAUAAUGGAGUGACGUGUCAACAGAACAUAGAUAAGGAAGUGACGUGUCAACAGAACAUAGAUAAUGAAGUGACGUGUCAACAGAACAGAGAUAAUGAAGUGUCGAGUCAAUACAACAGAGAUAAUGAAGUGAUGUGUCAAUAGAUCAGAGAUAAUGAGAUGUGGCAACAGAACAGAGAUAAUGAAUUGACUUGUCAACAGAACAGAGAUAAUGAAGUGAUGUGUCAAUAGAUCAGAGAUAAUGAGAUGUGGCAACAGAACAGAGAUAAUGAAGUGUCGAAUCAAUAGAACAGAGAUAACGAAGUGAUGUCAACAGAACAGAUAAUGAAAUGUGGCAACAGAACAGAGAUAAUGAAGUGUCGAAUCAAUAGAACAGAGAUAACGAAGUGAUGUCAACAGAACAGAUAAUGAAGUGACGUGUCAACAGAACAGAGAUAAUGAAGUGAUGUGGCAACAGAACCGAGAUAAUGAAGUGACGUGUCAACAGAACAUAGAUAAUGAAGUGACGUGUCAACAGAACAGAGAUAAUGAAGUGACGUGUCAACAGAACAGAGAUAAUGAAGUGACGUGUCAACAGAACAGAGAUAAUGAAGUGACGUGUCAACAGAACAGAGAUAAUGAAGUGACGUGUCAACAGAACAGAGAUAAUGGAGUGACGUG